RNAcentral lists this ribosomal RNA (393 nucleotides) under uncultured bacterium. RNAcentral describes it as "partial 16S ribosomal RNA". It matches the Rfam family "Bacterial small subunit ribosomal RNA", at positions 523 to 918 of the family's 1533-position model. The record is from RNAcentral.
AUACGGAGGAUGCGAGCGUUAUCCGGAUUUAUUGGGUUUAAAGGGAGCGUAGGUGGGAUAUUAAGUCAGCUGUGAAAGUUUGGGGCUCAACCUUAAAAUUGCAGUUGAUACUGGUUUCCUUGAGUACGGUAUAGGUGGGCGGAAUUCGUGGUGUAGCGGUGAAAUGCUUAGAUAUCACGAAGAACUCCGAUCGCGAAGGCAGCUCACCGGGCCGGAACUGACACUGAUGCUCGAAAGUGCGGGUAUCAAACAGGAUUAGAUACCCUGGUAGUCCGCACAGUAAACGAUGAAUACUCGCUGUUUGCGAUACACUGUAAGCGGCCAAGCGAAAGCGUUAAGUAUUCCACCUGGGGGGUACGCCGGCAACGGUGAAACUCAAAGGAAUUGACGGGG